RNAcentral lists this ribosomal RNA (646 nucleotides) under Streptomyces sp. SCAU5270. RNAcentral describes it as "bacterial SSU rRNA". It matches the Rfam family "Bacterial small subunit ribosomal RNA", at positions 102 to 762 of the family's 1533-position model. Lineage: Bacteria; Bacillati; Actinomycetota; Actinomycetes; Kitasatosporales; Streptomycetaceae. The record is from RNAcentral.
ACGGGUGAGUAACACGUGGGCAAUCUGCCCUGCACUCUGGGACAAGCCCUGGAAACGGGGUCUAAUACCGGAUACGACCUUCGAGCGCAUGCUUGAGGGUGGAAAGCUCCGGCGGUGCAGGAUGAGCCCGCGGCCUAUCAGCUUGUUGGUGGGGUGAUGACCUACCAAGGCGACGACGGGUAGCCGGCCUGAGAGGGCGACCGGCCACACUGGGACUGAGACACGGCCCAGACUCCUACGGGAGGCAGCAGUGGGGAAUAUUGCACAAUGGGCGAAAGCCUGAUGCAGCGACGCCGCGUGAGGGAUGACGGCCUUCGGGUUGUAAACCUCUUUCAGCAGGGAAGAAGCGCAAGUGACGGUACCUGCAGAAGAAGCGCCGGCUAACUACCUGCCAGCAGCCGCGGUAAUACGUAGGGCGCAAGCGUUGUCCGGAAUUAUUGGGCGUAAAGAGCUCGUAGGCGGCUUGUCGCGUCGGAUGUGAAAGCCCGGGGCUUAACCCCGGGUCUGCAUUCGAUACGGGCAGGCUAGAGUUCGGUAGGGGAGAUCGGAAUUCCUGGUGUAGCGGUGAAAUGCGCAGAUAUCAGGAGGAACACCGGUGGCGAAGGCGGAUCUCUGGGCCGAUACUGACGCUGAGGAGCGAAAGCGU